UACGUAGGGUCCAAGCGUUAAUCGGAAUUACUGGGCGUAAAGCGUGCGCAGGUGGUUGUGCAAGACCGAUGUGAAAUCCCCGGGCUUAACCUGGGAAUUGCAUUGGUGACUGCACGGCUAGAGUGUGUCAGAGGGGGAUAGAAUUCCACGUGUAGCAGUGAAAUGCGUAGAGAUGUGGAGGAAUACCGAUGGCGAAGGCAGCCCCCUGGGAUAACACUGACGCUCAUGCACGAAAGCGUGGGGAGCAAACAGGAUUA
Molecule: ribosomal RNA, 257 nt
Filed under: uncultured prokaryote
Description: partial 16S ribosomal RNA
Rfam family: Bacterial small subunit ribosomal RNA
Source: RNAcentral